CCACGCGUAAGGGAAAGACAAACAGGCUAAGAUGGCUUUGAGUACAGUCACUUUGGUCCUUAAACAUCAGGAUAUAUGGAGACUUUUGCAUGAUAGUCUCCCUGAGUGACACACAAUCUGAAGUGUACAGAUGCUUUGGAACGUGCGUGCAAAGUGUCUAACUUAAAAGCCAAUCUGUCAGUUAUUGUGCUUCUCUGAACUGCAAGCCUCGCCAGAACUGCCCCUAAUAAGCUUUUGUCAAAAUGCCUCUUUUACCACUUGCCUGAAACACAGUGAAUUGGACUCUCGCAUCUGACAGGAGAAGAUUUUGGAGCAUGGAGGGACAUCAAGUAGGAGAGAGCAGAAGCUGGGCAGGAGGCCGGCUACACAUCAGCAUGUGCAGAUGUAAUCAGAGUGAGGUUCAUCUGUACAAUCCAGAAAAGGAAUUUCUACAGAAAACCCAAAGGAAAUGGAAUUUAUCUCUCCGUAGCUAAAUACCUUGCAAGCUUUUGAGGAUGCUGUAAGUUUGGGAUGACAAAUAGAGAUUGGGCCCUCCAUUCAUAGUCACAAUGAACUUUUCAAUCAAACGAAAGAUGUAUGUGUGCAAUUCAACAGGGAUGGACGAUUUAUCAUGACUAUGUGAGUCCUGUAACAGAGACUACAAACUUCUCUUUUCUGACUAAAUCCUCGUGUUUUUAAUAACUUCAACCAUUAGGAAAAAUGGAUAAGAAUAAGAACCAAUGGAAAUAAAUUCUAAAUGUAGGCUUAAGUGAUCACUUUGAAGCUCUCUUUAGAAUUAAGGAGUUAAUAUCCCAGAAAUAUUUGAGUAUGUGUUCAAAUGAAAGUAUGUCCCCUGAAUGAAUUUUAGUUGUAGAAAUUUGGACUGAUGCCUCCUUUUGCUGAAUGGGGAAGGUGAUGAAUACUUCCCAGAAGCAGCCUCAAAAGAUUACUUUAUUUUAACCCUAAAAACUGCAAUGAAUUGUUUUGCAUUUUAUCUUAAUAAGAAAGAAAAAUACCCCAGAGUUUAUAUUUCUUCUGUAUCCACCCACAACAGGGACUCAUAAAUGCCUGCUAAUGAAAUUAAGGAGAACUAUGUGUUCAGGCACUAUUAGCCCUAAGCAGUGAAAAAUAAUUAAAUUAAAUACUUAAUGAGAUAAUUUUUUUCAACUUGGUUCUAAAAUGUUUAGGUUAUGAGAACAUUUUUGACCUUACUCUCUCUGCUUCAUUUGGACUGAAACUUUUGCAUUAUAUUUGCGCAGUGCAUGUCUGAUGAUGAUGAAAGCCAAAUAGUUUUGAGUAUUUCAACAACAGCAGGAACAGCAACAUACUUGUGGUGCAUGCUCCAUUUUUUAUUGUCAAUGCCUGUGAGCUAUUAUCAUACUAAAUCAGCAAUGUGAACUGAGAAGAUAAUCUUUAUCUUUGUCUUAUAGGCAAGAAACAAUGACUGCCUGGGAAUCUUUGAAUCCAGGGUAAAUUGUAG
This 1459-nucleotide long non-coding RNA is filed under the name Callithrix jacchus (white-tufted-ear marmoset). RNAcentral's name for it is "lncRNA (ENSCJAG00000072468.1)". Lineage: Eukaryota; Metazoa; Chordata; Mammalia; Primates; Cebidae. The record is from RNAcentral.